GUAAAGUCAGCUAAACAAGCUAUUGGGCCCAUACCCCGAAAAUGUUGACUCACCCCCUCCUUUACU
RNAcentral lists this transfer RNA (66 nucleotides) under Enyalioides praestabilis. RNAcentral describes it as "tRNA-Met". Lineage: Eukaryota; Metazoa; Chordata; Lepidosauria; Squamata; Hoplocercidae. The record is from RNAcentral.